AUUUGAACCAUUUUAUAUAGUAGAGAUCUUCAUUUAUUAAAUUUACCACUUUGUAAAGCCUGAUGAAAGAUUAUGAAACCGGUCGCUACUGCAAAAUUACUUCAAUAAACAAAUCUUUCCAUUA
Molecule: long non-coding RNA, 124 nt
Organism: Folsomia candida
Lineage: Eukaryota; Metazoa; Arthropoda; Collembola; Entomobryomorpha; Isotomidae
Exons: 2
Source: RefSeq, a predicted model, not a curated record